AUUGCAAUUCAUGAUGAAAUAGGGUUGGAAGAGCCGAAGGAUUAUCCAACGUGUUAACUUGGGAUAUGAGUUUGGGUCAGGCCUGGGCAGGGUCGAUAUAAAUCCAAGUUCAUCCUAUUUAAAACUUAGGCUUGAUUAUUAGGUCCAUAGAUCCACUCGACUAAAAAAUAUGGUUCAAGCCCUCUUUAAAGGUGUUGGACUCCGAUAGAUCGCCUCUUAACAUGGGCAGAUCUAAGCAGUAGCCAGUGGCUCAUCCCCAUCGUUUCUCCCCUCACAUUUUUGGCAUCAAGACAGCAAUAAGACCAAUUUCUAGUUGCGAGCUUCCAUGGGAACAUAUUUGGUAAGGCUAUAAAUGGGUCGGGUCAACCCGUGACCCGAUCUAGCUCGACCUGUUUAGAUCCGAUCUAAUCCAUUUUAAAGAAUCCACGAGAUUGGAUUGGAUUCUAAAAUUGGAUCUGUUCAAUAUUUCGGAUCAGAUUUAGAUUUACUAAAUUCAGACCCGAUCGGACUCGAUCCGAUUCGAAUUCAGU
Molecule: long non-coding RNA, 530 nt
Filed under: Elaeis guineensis (African oil palm)
Lineage: Eukaryota; Viridiplantae; Streptophyta; Magnoliopsida; Arecales; Arecaceae
Description: long non-coding RNA (EGUI_LNC074199)
Source: RNAcentral